This 384-nucleotide ribosomal RNA is filed under the name Triticum aestivum (bread wheat). Its description in RNAcentral is "partial small subunit ribosomal RNA". Lineage: Eukaryota; Viridiplantae; Streptophyta; Magnoliopsida; Poales; Poaceae. The record is from RNAcentral.
AUGUGGUUCGGUGCUCGUGUAGGUGCAGUUUGUGGGCACACCGCAAUGUCGGCAGCAACGCCUGGGUCUCCACCUCUCCAGCCGUCUCACUUCCCUCCUCUCCUUGUUCCUAUGGUGGCGACCACUCCUUGCAGUUCAGAAAAAGUUUUUUCUUCAAAUUUGGCCGUCGAUGCAGUUCGACAGGAGUACAUCUCAGCCCGUGCAGUUUGUGCGGCCGUGCGGCUCGGCGAGCUAUUUUGUGCAGUUUCCUGGAUGCAUUUCAGGUGCUGCCUGCCUAUGAUGAAAUUUGGUUCAGUUUACUUGUUUGUAUUUACUCAAACAUCAUGUAGUUCACCGAAACUCUUUGUUGUUCUCAUGUUAAAACAAUGGGGGUUCACUUUGUAA